Molecule: long non-coding RNA, 396 nt
Organism: Hibiscus syriacus
Lineage: Eukaryota; Viridiplantae; Streptophyta; Magnoliopsida; Malvales; Malvaceae
Exons: 3
Source: RefSeq, a predicted model, not a curated record
AUUAUUGUGAUUAUAAAUCGGGGAGAUGGAUCAUCACGAAGAUGAAUCUCAGGCUGGAGGUGAACACCAUGGAAAACAAGACGAUGAGGAAAUCGUUGCUCGUCUUGAGGAAGUUAAGAAAUCUAUUGAGGGCAAAAUGGCUCUUCACCAAACCAAUUUGAAUCCUGAAAGGCCUGACUUUGGAUUCCUCAGGACUUUGGAUUCUAGUAUUAAACGCAACACAGUUGUGAUAAAAAAUUAAAGCUGAUAAGUGAAGAGCAGAAGGAAGGAUUGAUAGAGGAGCUACGGAGUGUCAAUUUAAGUAAAUUUGUUAGUGAAGCUGUCUCUGCUAUUUGUGAUGCCAAGCUUAAGAGUUCGGAUAUACAAGCCGCAGUUUAGAUCUGCUCUCUGCUUCAU